Molecule: ribosomal RNA, 246 nt
Filed under: uncultured bacterium
Lineage: Bacteria
Description: partial 16S ribosomal RNA
Rfam family: Bacterial small subunit ribosomal RNA
Source: RNAcentral
UACGUAGGGUGCAAGCGUUGUCCGGAAUUAUUGGGCGUAAAGAGCUCGUAGGCGGUCUGUUGCGUCCGCUGUGAAAACCCGGGGCUUAACCCCUGGCUUGCAGUGGAUACGGACAGACUAGAGGUAGGUAGGGGAGAAUGGAAUUCCCGGUGUAGCGGUGAAAUGCGCAGAUAUCGGGAGGAACACCGGUGGCGAAGGCGGUUCUCUGGGCCUUACCUGACGCUGAGGAGCGAAAGCGUGGGGAGC